GACGAACGCUGGCGGCGUGCCUAAUACAUGCAAGUCGAGCGCAGGAAACUGACGGAACUCUUCGGAGGGAAGGCAGCGGAAUGAGCGGCGGACGGGUGAGUAACACGUAAGGAACCUGCCUCAAGGAUUGGGAUAACUCCGAGAAAUCGGAGCUAAUACCGGAUAGUUCAACGGACCGCAUGGUCCGCUGAUGAAAGGCGCUCCGGCGUCACCUUGAGAUGGCCUUGCGGUGCAUUAGCUAGUUGGUGGGGUAACGGCCCACCCAGGCGACGAUGCAUAGCCGACGUGAGAGGGUGAUCGGCCACACUGGGACUGAGACACGGCCCAGAAUCCUACGGGAGGCAGCAGUAGGGAAUCUUCCACAAUGGACGAAAGUCUGAUGGAGCAACGCCGCGUGAGUGAUGAAGGUUUUCGGAUCGUAAAACUCUGUUGUAAGGGAAGAACACGUACGAGAGGAAAUGCUCGUACCUUGACGGUACCUUACGAGAAAGCCACGGCUAACUACGUGCCAGCCGCCGCGGUAA
RNAcentral lists this ribosomal RNA (524 nucleotides) under uncultured bacterium. Its description in RNAcentral is "partial 16S ribosomal RNA". It matches the Rfam family "Bacterial small subunit ribosomal RNA", at positions 28 to 523 of the family's 1533-position model. The record is from RNAcentral.